UACGGAAGGCAGCAGUGGGGAAUAUUGGACAAUGGGCGAAAGCCUGAUCCAGCCAUGCCGCAUGAGUGAAGAAGGCCUUCGGGUUGUAAAGCUCUUUUAGUGAGAAAGAUAAUGACGGUACUCACAGAAGAAGUCCUGGCUAACUCCGUGCCAGCAGCCGCGGUAAUACGGAGGGUGCUAGCGUUAAUCAGAAUUACUGGGCGUAAAGAGCACGUAGGUGGUUUUUUUAAGUCAGAUGUGAAAUCCCUGGGCUUAACCUAGGAACUGCAUUUUGAAACUGAAAUACUAGAGUAUCGUAGAGGGAGGUAGAAUUCUAGGUGUAGCGGUGAAAUGCGUAGAUAUCUGGAGGAAUACCUGUGGCGAAAGCGGCCUCCUAAACGAAUACUGACACUGAGGGUGCGAAAGCGUGGGGAGCAAACAGGGAUUAGAUACC
RNAcentral lists this ribosomal RNA (433 nucleotides) under uncultured bacterium. RNAcentral describes it as "bacterial SSU rRNA". It matches the Rfam family "Bacterial small subunit ribosomal RNA", at positions 340 to 786 of the family's 1533-position model. The record is from RNAcentral.